RNAcentral lists this microRNA precursor (60 nucleotides) under Strongyloides ratti. Its description in RNAcentral is "microRNA str-mir-8395 precursor". The record is from miRBase by way of RNAcentral. Lineage: Eukaryota; Metazoa; Nematoda; Chromadorea; Rhabditida; Strongyloididae.
ACGACCUUAUUUUGUCUUCAACAUAAUUUUAGAGAUGUUUAAGGCAUUUUAAGGUUGUUC